GAACGGGUGAGUAAUGCAUCGGAACGUGCCCAGUCGUGGGGGAUAACUGCUCGAAAGAGCAGCUAAUACCGCAUACGACCUGAGGGUGAAAGCGGGGGACCGUAAGGCCUCGCGCGAUUGGAGCGGCCGAUGUCAGAUUAGCUAGUUGGUGGGGUAAAGGCCUACCAAGGCAACGAUCUGUAGUUGGUCUGAGAGGACGACCAGCCACACUGGGACUGAGACACGGCCCAGACUCCUACGGGAGGCAGCAGUGGGGAAUUUUGGACAAUGGGCGCAAGCCUGAUCCAGCAAUGCCGCGUGCA
Molecule: ribosomal RNA, 302 nt
Filed under: uncultured bacterium
Lineage: Bacteria
Description: bacterial SSU rRNA
Rfam family: Bacterial small subunit ribosomal RNA
Source: RNAcentral